AGUGAACGCUGGCGGUAGGCCUAACACAUGCAAGUCGAACGGCAGCACAGUAAGGGCUUGCUCUUACGGGUGGCGAGUGGCGGACGGGUGAGGAAUACAUCGGAAUCUACUUUUUCGUGGGGGAUAACGUAGGGAAACUUACGCUAAUACCGCAUACGACCUACGGGUGAAAGCAGGGGAUCUUCGGACCUUGCGCGAUUGAAUGAGCCGAUGUCGGAUUAGCUAGUUGGCGGGGUAAAGGCCCACCAAGGCGACGAUCCGUAGCUGGUCUGAGAGGAUGAUCAGCCACACUGGAACUGAGACACGGUCCAGACUCCUACGGGAGGCAGCAGUGGGGAAUAUUGGACAAUGGGCGCAAGCCUGAUCCAGCCAUACCGCGUGGGUGAAGAAGGCCUUCGGGUUGUAAAGCCCUUUUGUUGGGAAAGAAAAGCAGCAGGUUAAUACCCCGCUGUUCUGACGGUACCCAAAGAAUAAGCAUCGGCUAACUUCGUG
RNAcentral lists this ribosomal RNA (492 nucleotides) under uncultured bacterium. RNAcentral's name for it is "partial 16S ribosomal RNA". It matches the Rfam family "Bacterial small subunit ribosomal RNA", at positions 29 to 507 of the family's 1533-position model. The record is from RNAcentral.